This 425-nucleotide ribosomal RNA is filed under the name uncultured bacterium. Its description in RNAcentral is "bacterial SSU rRNA". It matches the Rfam family "Bacterial small subunit ribosomal RNA", at positions 355 to 772 of the family's 1533-position model. The record is from RNAcentral.
UGGGGAAUAUUGGACAAUGGGCGCAAGCCUGAUCCAGCAACGCCGCGUGGAGGACGAAGGUCUUCGGAUCGUAAACUCCUGUCAGGCGGGACGAAGGCUGCAGGGCAAAUAGUCCUGUAGCUUGACGGUACUGCCAGAGGAAGCCCCGGCUAACUCCGUGCCAGCAGCCGCGGUAAUACAGAGGGUGCAAGCGUUGUCCGGAAUCACUGGGCGUAAAGGGCGCGUAGGUGGCUUGGUAAGCGUGCGGUGAAAGCUAGAGGCUCAACCUCGAGUCUGCCGUGCGAACUGCCGAGCUGGAGCACGGUAGAGGCACAUGGAAUUCCGGGUGUAGCGGUGGAAUGCGUAGAGAUCCGGAAGAACACCGGUGGCGAAGGCGGUGUGCUGGGCCGUAGCUGACACUGAGGCGCGACAGCGUGGGGAGCAAA